Small nucleolar RNA from Bufo bufo (common toad), 89 nucleotides. RefSeq annotates it as small nucleolar RNA SNORD70. Lineage: Eukaryota; Metazoa; Chordata; Amphibia; Anura; Bufonidae. The record is from RefSeq and is a predicted model, not a curated record. The transcript has a single exon.
UUGACUGUUGCCAAUGAUGGAUUUUCUUUAAACUGAAACACAGUGAUUUUAACUGAAUGUUUCGUCACUACCACUGAGGCAACAUUUUU